Molecule: ribosomal RNA, 654 nt
Filed under: Thalassotalea sp.
Lineage: Bacteria; Pseudomonadati; Pseudomonadota; Gammaproteobacteria; Alteromonadales; Colwelliaceae
Description: bacterial SSU rRNA
Rfam family: Bacterial small subunit ribosomal RNA
Source: RNAcentral
GCAGCAGUGGGGAAUAUUGCACAAUGGGGGAAACCCUGAUGCAGCCAUGCCGCGUGUGUGAAGAAGGCCUUCGGGUUGUAAAGCACUUUCAGUUGUGAGGAAAGGUUAGUAGCUAAUAACUGCUAGCUGUGACGUUAGCAACAGAAGAAGCACCGGCUAACUCCGUGCCAGCAGCCGCGGUAAUACGGAGGGUGCGAGCGUUAAUCGGAAUUACUGGGCGUAAAGCGUGCGUAGGCGGUUGAUUAAGCGAGGUGUGAAAUCCCGGGGCUUAACCUCGGAACUGCACUUCGAACUGGUCGACUAGAGUUUUGUAGAGGGUGGUGGAAUUUCCAGUGUAGCGGUGAAAUGCGUAGAGAUUGGAAGGAACAUCAGUGGCGAAGGCGGCCACCUGGACAAAAACUGACGCUGAGGCACGAAAGCGUGGGGAGCAAACAGGAUUAGAUACCCUGGUAGUCCACGCCGUAAACGAUGUCAACUAGCUGUCUGUGUACUUGAUACGUGGGUAGCGUAGCUAACGCGCUAAGUUGACCGCCUGGGGAGUACGGCCGCAAGGUUAAAACUCAAAUGAAUUGACGGGGGCCCGCACAAGCGGUGGAGCAUGUGGUUUAAUUCGAUGCAACGCGAAGAACCUUACCAUCCCUUGACAUCCAGCGA